GCUGGGCGCAGUGGCAGGCACCUGUAGUCCCAGCUACUCGGGAGGCUGAGGCAGGAGAAUCGCUUGAACCCAGGAGGUGGAGCUUGCAGUGAGCCAAGAUUGCGCCACUGCACUCCAGCCUGGGCCUCCAUCUCAAAAAAAAAAAAAAAAAAAAAAAAAAAAAAAGAAGAGAAAAGUGUGAAAAGAUUAGGAGUNNNNNNNNNNUUUUUUUUUUUUUUUUUUUUUUUUUUUUUUUGAGAUGGAGGCCCAGGCUGGAGUGCAGUGGCGCAAUCUUGGCUCACUGCAAGCUCCGCCUCCUGGGUUCAAGCGAUUCUCCUGCCUCAG
This 324-nucleotide signal recognition particle RNA is filed under the name Chlorocebus sabaeus (green monkey). RNAcentral describes it as "Metazoan signal recognition particle RNA". It matches the Rfam family "Metazoan signal recognition particle RNA". From Rfam's summary of the family: The signal recognition particle (SRP) is a universally conserved ribonucleoprotein. It is involved in the co-translational targeting of proteins to membranes. The record is from Rfam by way of RNAcentral. Lineage: Eukaryota; Metazoa; Chordata; Mammalia; Primates; Cercopithecidae.